This 1309-nucleotide ribosomal RNA is filed under the name Salmonella enterica. RNAcentral's name for it is "partial 23S ribosomal RNA". It matches the Rfam family "Bacterial large subunit ribosomal RNA", at positions 1515 to 2802 of the family's 2925-position model. The record is from RNAcentral. Lineage: Bacteria; Pseudomonadati; Pseudomonadota; Gammaproteobacteria; Enterobacterales; Enterobacteriaceae. RNAcentral also lists the same sequence under 1 other name.
AGCGUGUAGGUGUGUGUUCCAGGUAAAUCCGGUUCACUUUAACACUGAGGCGUGACGACGAGGCACUACGGUGCUGAAGCAACAAAUGCCCUGCUUCCAGGAAAAGCCUCUAAGCAUCAGGUAACAUCAAAUCGUACCCCAAACCGACACAGGUGGUCAGGUAGAGAAUACCAAGGCGCUUGAGAGAACUCGGGUGAAGGAACUAGGCAAAAUGGUGCCGUAACUUCGGGAGAAGGCACGCUGACACGUAGGUGAAGUGAUUUACUCAUGGAGCUGAAGUCAGUCGAAGAUACCAGCUGGCUGCAACUGUUUAUUAAAAACACAGCACUGUGCAAACACGAAAGUGGACGUAUACGGUGUGACGCCUGCCCGGUGCCGGAAGGUUAAUUGAUGGGGUCAGCGCAAGCGAAGCUCCUGAUCGAAGCCCCGGUAAACGGCGGCCGUAACUAUAACGGUCCUAAGGUAGCGAAAUUCCUUGUCGGGUAAGUUCCGACCUGCACGAAUGGCGUAAUGAUGGCCAGGCUGUCUCCACCCGAGACUCAGUGAAAUUGAACUCGCUGUGAAGAUGCAGUGUACCCGCGGCAAGACGGAAAGACCCCGUGAACCUUUACUAUAGCUUGACACUGAACAUUGAGCCUUGAUGUGUAGGAUAGGUGGGAGGCUUUGAAGUGUGGACGCCAGUCUGCAUGGAGCCGACCUUGAAAUACCACCCUUUAAUGUUUGAUGUUCUAACGUGGACCCGUUACCCGGGUUGCGGACAGUGUCUGGUGGGUAGUUUGACUGGGGCGGUCUCCUCCUAAAGAGUAACGGAGGAGCACGAAGGUUGGCUAAUCCUGGUCGGACAUCAGGAGGUUAGUGCAAUGGCAUAAGCCAGCUUGACUGCGAGCGUGACGGCGCGAGCAGGUGCGAAAGCAGGUCAUAGUGAUCCGGUGGUUCUGAAUGGAAGGGCCAUCGCUCAACGGAUAAAAGGUACUCCGGGGAUAACAGGCUGAUACCGCCCAAGAGUUCAUAUCGACGGCGGUGUUUGGCACCUCGAUGUCGGCUCAUCACAUCCUGGGGCUGAAGUAGGUCCCAAGGGUAUGGCUGUUCGCCAUUUAAAGUGGUACGCGAGCUGGGUUUAGAACGUCGUGAGACAGUUCGGUCCCUAUCUGCCGUGGGCGCUGGAGAACUGAGGGGGGCUGCUCCUAGUACGAGAGGACCGGAGUGGACGCAUCACUGGUGUUCGGGUUGUCAUGCCAAUGGCACUGCCCGGUAGCUAAAUGCGGAAGAGAUAAGUGCUGAAAGCAUCUAAGCACGAAACUUGCCCCGA